Lytechinus pictus (painted urchin) is the source of this 667-nucleotide long non-coding RNA. RefSeq lists it as uncharacterized. The transcript is spliced from 2 exons. Lineage: Eukaryota; Metazoa; Echinodermata; Echinoidea; Temnopleuroida; Toxopneustidae. The record is from RefSeq and is a predicted model, not a curated record.
CAGUCUUCGUUGUGUUGCUCUACUAACUAUUGAAAAACUCCAAGCUGCACGGUCCCAUUCACUUGCUCCCGAUGCAUGUUGCAGGCUACGCUGUUUGAUCCAGUCAAAAGUCAAGAUCUGCACAAUUGCUAACUCUGGUGACUUCUGGUCUCUGCUUGCUACCUCAAUCUGGGAGAUUCCAUCAUGUCCUUUUACUAUGAUUUGGAUAUAGCCAUUUUUUUCUUCACUCUUUCCAGGACCUACGGUUUGCAAGUUGUGGAAUGAUAAUGAUACAAAAGAAAAAAUUUCUUUAUCAAUCUUGGAAACAAUUUUGAGCACAGUUUUGGAGAGAACUAAGAAAUUUUACUCGGACAGGAAUACAGCUUGUCAAAAAUAAUAACACACAAUUUAAAACGAAAGAACAAUUUUAAUGUUACUAGGGCAUUUUGCGAGAAAUGUUAUACUCAAUCACACGUCCCAAAUCAAGGGAAAGUCCUUUGAUUAAACAUGUAGUUGAAUUGCGAUUGCAACUCGACCUUAUUACGCUUAAAUUUGAAUUUAAGACUUACGCUUGAUUUGCAAUUGAACAUAAGUUUCUUGCAGUGCCCCAUAAUUAUGUUUUGUUAUCAGAUAUUUAACGUGCUGAUUUUUCUCGAAAGGUAUAAUAUAUUUGUCCUUUUAAACGGUA